GCACUUGAAUUGUUCCAGCUGUUUAUUUAUUCACAAUAAAAUUAUAUAUGAUUUAGUAUCAAAUUAGCUGGACUUCGACAGCCGAUUUUGACUUCCUUUAUUUUUACUUUUUGAAUUGUACUCCAACUGCAGAUUAACCCUUAAUCCAGCGUUGCCAGGUUUUCACAGGAAAACUGCCCAAUCUGAUUUUUGGCGUGGUUCCCUCUGCCAAAAUUCGCAUUUUAGGGGAUAAAUAUCAUGUUUUUGGAGUCGCUUAAACAAGCGGACAUGAAAAACAACCCCGUGGCAACAGUUUUAAAGUAGAGGACUUGGCAACACUGCCUUCAUCUUACUGCAAGAGUCUAAGAGGAUCAGUCUUUCUACUGCUACCGAGAUCUUUCUGAUUGUAUUUCUGUGAUUGUCGGGAACAUGGUGAGAACCCUGUAUGAUUUGUCUGAUCUGAAAGAGACCAGGUUUGGUCAGCCGAGUCCCAGACACGGUCUGAGCUUGUUGUGGUGGUUUGCUCAUAAUUGUGUUCAGAUUGACUCGAACAGUCGUAUGUCUGCACUGUACAACCCUGAAAAUGGAGCUUUUGGUUUUGAUCUAUUCUAUAAUCGGGAAAGACUUCUUCCUUACAGUAAUCGUCCAUACUAUGAGGUGGGCAACCUAAAUAACCCUGGAUCACUGCCUCGGUAUGUCACUAAGAAGUACACUGGAUAUUCAGACGACAGCAACAAAGAUCGCAUCAUUGUUUCCUUUAACUCACAUUGGAACAGUUUUGAGAAGAUUUAUGUGACACAGCACUCGGAUGAGGUGCACUUUGACCAGAAUCACACUUACCGCAUUAGCCCUAAUCUUCUGGAGGACAUUCAAGAGUUAAACCUGAAAAAAUUCCUCAGAAAAACUAUUAAUAAUUCUUAUCAGAUUUCGUACCAAAUGCAUUGCACACCGUGUCCAUCUCCAGCUCCGUCUGUAAAGACUGAAUCCAACCAGAGGCAAGGGUCUAAAUCUGUCAAGGGUGUUUGUGCAGAUUUCUGCGAAGUACUUUUUUGUAUCAUCAUCAUAUUUUUUUCAUUUUGUUCAUUUCGUUUUCAAAAAUGAAAAUAUAGUUUUCAUGCUGUUUGUUGUUCAUUUUGAAGCUGUGUAUUAUUAGAGCUGUGACUUAUUUGGAUGAAAGGGUCUCCUAAAUGAAUAACUGUAUAAUCUGAUGGAUGUUCAUAUAAUUAUAAUGAGAUGUUCAUAAUUCAGUAAAUGCGAGAUAUGAUGUUAAGCUUUGUUUUUUAUCACUGGAUUCUUUUAAUGAUUUAUUACUAUGAUGCAGAUAAAUAUUCAAGAUUGAGGGAGACAAAAGAUGAACUUAUCAUAAAAUAAAAAAAAACAAAACAGAAAAGACCGGUAAUAUAUCAUAAACUACGAAUUGUAUCUCAUGUCAUUGAUAACAGCUAAGAAUACUUUCUAAAAUAAAUACAUGCCAUUUAUUACAUUUAUGCAUUUAGCAGACACUUUUAUCCAAAGAAAAUUAAAGUGCAUUCUUCAGGCUAUAGUACACUUAUUUUUAUUUUUAUUUUUUACCAGUAUGUACGUCAUAUUAAACAAAUUAUUAAUAUGAAACCUAAAUAUGAGUGAGACAUUAUAGUUUGAUAUGAGUUUCAUAUAAAUCUCUGUAUUAUCUGCCCCAUCUGCUCUAAUGUGUUUCUGCUAGUUUCACUUUCCAUAGCAUGAGUUUCUAUUCAUCAGAACAGAAACAGACAGACACACACACACACACACACACAUAGUACAACCUGUAGGACAACUAGUGUGUUUUACUACAUUGUAGUUUGUGUCAUGAAUUCAGUGACAUCAGCAAACACGCAAAGCUGUCAUGUCAUGUAAAUGAAGCAGCCAGAGCCAGAGACCUAGACUGGCUUCUACAAGAUUAACCCUUUGUCUCACUGCAGUACUCCUAGAAGGAUUGUCGGGAACAUGGUGAGAACCCUGAAUAAUGUGUCCGAGCUGAGACAGACUGGGUUUGGUCAGCCGAGUUCCAGACACUGUCUGAGCUUGUUGUGGUGGUUUGCUCAUGAUUGUGUUAAGAUUGGCUCGAACGGUCGUAUGAUUGCACAGUAUGACCCUAGAAAUGGAGCGUUUGGUUUUGAACUAUUCCAUAACAGGGAAAGCAUUCUUCCUUACAGUGAUCUACUAUACUAUGAGGUGGGAAACCUGCACAAAGCCCGCUCACUGCCUCCUUAUGUCAUUGAGAAGUACACUGGAUAUUCAGAAGACAGCAACACAGAUCGCAUCAUUGUUUCCUUUAACUCAAGGCUGAACAAAUUUGAAAAGAUUUAUGUGACACAGCAUUCAGAUCAGAAAAACUUUGAACAAAAUCGCACUUACUGUAUUAGUACUGAUCUCCUGAAGGACAUUAAAGAGUUAAGUCGUGAAGACUUCCUCAGAGGACGCACAAAUCGUUCUGAACAGUUCUCUAUAAGCAUGCCUCCGUCAGUGCAGCGCAGGCAGACAAACACCUGUCUGAGCUGGAAAUGCCGCUGUGCGCUGAUUGGCUGUUCUCUGCUGUUCAUUGCUAUUGUUGGUGGAGCUAUUGCUCUCUGUUUGUAUUUAAAGCCAAAAUAGAUUGAAUCUGUUGCAGUUUGUUGUUCUAGAUAAUUUGAGUCAGUUUCUUAUUUAAAUAAACUUAAUACAUAAUACAUAUACUUAAUAAUAAUACAUUUAUUAACACGUUUAUUAUCAUGUGUGAUGUGGAGGGUUGCAUGUUAAUCACAGCAUUCUUUUUAAUGUUUCAUUGCAAGACUUUGGGUGAUACAUCACAUACUAAUAACUGUCUUCAUUUAUAAUAAUUUCUGUACUUUUUGUGCUUAUCCUUUGAAAUAUAUUCUUUGUAUUACCUUAAAACUAAAACUCCCAAAACCA
Carassius auratus (goldfish) is the source of this 2889-nucleotide RNA transcript. RefSeq lists it as uncharacterized. Lineage: Eukaryota; Metazoa; Chordata; Actinopteri; Cypriniformes; Cyprinidae. The transcript is spliced from 4 exons. The record is from RefSeq and is a predicted model, not a curated record.